CCUACGGGGGGCAGCAGUGGGGAAUAUUGGACAAUGGGCGAAAGCCUGAUCCAGCCAUGCCGCGUGUGUGAAGAAGGCCUUCGGGUUGUAAAGCACUUUCAGUGGGGAAGAAAGCCUUGGGGCUAAUACCCUCGAGGAAGGACAUCACCCACAGAAGAAGCACCGGCUAACUCCGUGCCAGCAGCCGCGGUAAUACGGAGGGUGCGAGCGUUAAUCGGAAUUACUGGGCGUAAAGCGCGCGUAGGCGGUCUGAUAAGCCGGUUGUGAAAGCCCCGGGCUCAACCUGGGAACGGCAUCCGGAACUGUCAGGCUAGGGUGCAGGAGAGGAAGGUAGAAUUCCCGGUGUAGCGGUGAAAUGCGUAGAGAUCGGGAGGAAUACCAGUGGCGAAGGCGGCCUUCUGGACUGACACUGACGCUGAGGUGCGAAAGCGUGGGUAGCAAACAGGAUUAGAUACCCGGUAGUC
RNAcentral lists this ribosomal RNA (464 nucleotides) under Vreelandella stevensii. Its description in RNAcentral is "partial 16S ribosomal RNA". It matches the Rfam family "Bacterial small subunit ribosomal RNA", at positions 338 to 795 of the family's 1533-position model. The record is from RNAcentral. Lineage: Bacteria; Pseudomonadati; Pseudomonadota; Gammaproteobacteria; Oceanospirillales; Halomonadaceae.